This 405-nucleotide ribosomal RNA is filed under the name uncultured bacterium. RNAcentral describes it as "bacterial SSU rRNA". It matches the Rfam family "Bacterial small subunit ribosomal RNA", at positions 358 to 774 of the family's 1533-position model. The record is from RNAcentral.
GGAAUCUUGCACAAUGGGCGAAAGCCUGAUGCAGCGACGCCGCGUGCGGGAUGAAGGCCUUCGGGUUGUAAACCGCUUUCAGUGGGGACGAGGCCGCGAGGUGACGGUACCCACAGAAGAAGCCCCGGCUAACUACGUGCCAGCAGCCGCGGUAAUACGUAGGGGGCAAGCGUUAUCCGGAUUCAUUGGGCGUAAAGCGCUCGUAGGCGGUCCGUUAGGUCGGGAGUUAAAUCCGGGGGCUCAACCCCCGCCCGCUCCCGAUACCGGCGGACUUGAGUUUGGUAGGGGAAAGUGGAAUUCCCAGUGUAGCGGUGGAAUGCGCAGAUAUUGGGAAGAACACCAGUGGCGAAGGCGGCUUUCUGGGCCACAACUGACGCUGAGGAGCGAAAGCUAGGGGAGCGAACA